AGCUAUUAAGGAUUGACUGUUUACGCCGAAUCAUGAAGCAGCAGAAUUCGAUCAAGGAGCGACGUCUUGAUUGACACGUCGAAUACAGACGACCACAAAGUGAUAGCUUCAGGUUUCCAUCUAAUUAAGAGCCGAAGAACCAGUGGAAGAAGCAAAUGAAGAAAUUCUAACGCCCGGUCCGAGAAGAAUCAAGCCCACAUCCAGACUACCAGAAUGAAGUAGUAUAAAAGGGAUCUACGGUGCCUGCCAUAGCAUCAAUAACAACCAAAGACUAUAACAACGACGAGUGUUCUCACGUGAAGGAAAAUCAGCAGCAUUCAACUCGAGUGGAGAUGGCGAAGAAG
Macrobrachium nipponense is the source of this 344-nucleotide long non-coding RNA. RefSeq lists it as uncharacterized. The record is from RefSeq and is a predicted model, not a curated record. The transcript is spliced from 3 exons. Lineage: Eukaryota; Metazoa; Arthropoda; Malacostraca; Decapoda; Palaemonidae.